GAAACCUGCACAGUCUGGCAUAUUUGAGUCAAGAGCGACGCUGACGAGCGCAGAAGCAGAAAAGACAGCAACAGGUGCAUGCUGGGCGACACGAGAAGAGGACCAGAGCAGGCUGGCCCCAACCACGUGAUGAGUGCAGAGGCAGCUGAAAGCUAGUUGAGUUCACUGCGGUUCAGAGGAUAACCAGGCGACCCUGUGUGAACUGCUGUGAAUUAGAGCUGCCUGUCUCCAGCUCCUCGUCGUGGCUUCAGGGCCGCAAGUGCACAACACUCCUAAAAGUCAUCUGAUGUAAUGACAGUGACCAGACUGCCUCCCACCACCAUCCAGAAUAUUCCCACUUCAGACACUGAUCUAUCACCUGUUGGUAUUUUCUUUUCCUUACCUGGUUCAUUUACACUUUCUUGAUCUUGGUGAACAUGAGGCCCAUUCAGAGUUUUACUAAAAUCAUGCCUGAAGUUCAGCUAAAAAUGCAUUAAAAUACAGAUAUAGUAUCUGUAGAUAAGAAACAAUAUUCAGGAAUCAAAUGUACACUGGUUUCUGUUUAAAUGAUGGGCAGCACUGAUCAAUCCUAGAUUAGAUGGUACAGCACAUAUGCUGGUAAACAGUUUGUGUGGAUAGCAAACAAGGAAAGAACUGGAUGAAAUAUCUUUAGGACCUAAAACACCUUCAAAAUGUCAGUACUUACAGAACAUACUGUCCUGUUCUAGCUUUAGUAGCCUUUAUAAUGACCAUUUAUGUUGAAAAUGCUUUCUGGCCUGCUUGGGAUUUUUCUGUUCCUGUACCACAGUUGACCACUGGUACAAAUUAGCAGGACUGGUGAUUCUGACGUUGUUCUAGCUACGGCAGCUUUAGCAGCUAGCCACCCAAACUCAAACCUUAAUACAAACACAAAGACAAUGUCAUAGCACAAGAGACAGUAGUAACAAUAGAUGUAACAGAAAUGUUGUCCAAAUUUUCAUUAUCGAUUAAUUAUUCACUUAAUCAUCUAGUCUAUAAUAUGUCAUAAAAUUGUGAAAAAAGUCUAUCACAGUUUCUUCAGAUUGCUGGCUUUGUUAGACAAACUGUCAAUAAAACCAAAGGUAUUCAGUUUACAAUUAUAUAACACAGAAAAGCAGCAAAUCCUUAUAUUUGAGAAGCUGGAACCAGCUAAUGUUUGGCAUUGUUGCUUGAUAAAUGUA
This is a long non-coding RNA of Siniperca chuatsi (mandarin fish), 1178 nucleotides long. RefSeq lists it as uncharacterized. Lineage: Eukaryota; Metazoa; Chordata; Actinopteri; Centrarchiformes; Sinipercidae. The transcript has 3 exons. The record is from RefSeq and is a predicted model, not a curated record.